Molecule: long non-coding RNA, 800 nt
Organism: Pygoscelis adeliae (Adelie penguin)
Lineage: Eukaryota; Metazoa; Chordata; Aves; Sphenisciformes; Spheniscidae
Exons: 3
Source: RefSeq, a predicted model, not a curated record
AGGCAAGGAUACAAGGAUUUUUUAGAAAAAGCAAAAAAAUAAAGCCAGCGUGCGUGAAAAGUGAGCGCAAGGAGGCAGCCCGCUUCGGAGCAGAUCAAAGGGGCUCGUGGAGAUGCUGAGCGUGGUUUGGUUAAUACGAGCGCGGGAUUGCCUCAAAAGGAAAGAAAUGCUCUUGGCUUUUUUAAUGUCUCAGUCCUGUUUUAUACCGGCCCCGUGGAGGUAGGGUAAGAGCCUUCCUGAAAGCGAGGGCCCUUCCCAACCCCGGUGAGGACACGGAGACACAUCAUUUUAGCUUUUCACCACCUGUUUGGAAAGCUCCUAUAACCGAGUGCUAUGGGACUGGAUGGUUUCUACAGGACUCCAUUUUUCUGAACGUGCCGUGACUUUUGAGGACCACGCAUGGUUAACCAGCCCCAGGGCUCCCGAGUCCCUGAAUCAGCACGUCCGCCUGCAGACACCGAGCCGAGGGGGAGCGCUCCCCCCCCGGCCGUGACACGGCCAUGGCGGGGAGAAGUGCCCUUCUGCUCUGCCCUGGCUUUCAUCUGCAAAGCGUGUAGCUGCAAGUGCCGUGUGUUUACAAAUGCAGGCAUUGCAAGAUCCCUUGAACUGUGUCCUAGUACAAAAGAGGCUUUGAAACAAGAAACACGUUGUCAUGGCAUGUUCCAGGCCAGCAGCACCAGACUGAACCAGAUAAUUGCUGUUUCUGCUUUAGCUGCUUCAUCGUGGAAAAAGCAGCAGCUAUUGCCAUUACACCCAGUGCCUUUGGAAACGGCAAAACAGUAAAGCGCUGGCUGGGAAGG